RNAcentral lists this ribosomal RNA (253 nucleotides) under uncultured bacterium. RNAcentral's name for it is "partial 16S ribosomal RNA". It matches the Rfam family "Bacterial small subunit ribosomal RNA", at positions 524 to 776 of the family's 1533-position model. The record is from RNAcentral.
UACGUAGGGUGCGAGCGUUAAUCGGAAUUCCUGGGCGUAAAGCGUGCGCAGGCGGUUUUGUAAGCCAGGGGUGAAAUCCCCGGGCUCAACCUGGGAAUGGCAUUUGGGACUGCAAGGCUGGAGUGCGGCAGAGGAGACUGGAAUUCCUGGUGUAGCAGUGAAAUGCGUAGAUAUCAGGAGGAACACCGAUGGCGAAGGCAGGUCUCUGGGCUGACACUGACGCUCAUGCACGAAAGCGUGGGGAGCAAACAGG